CCUACGGGUGGCAGCCGUGAGGAAUAUUGGUCAAUGGACGAGAGUCUGAACCAGCCAAGUAGCGUGAAGGAUGACUGCCCUAUGGGUUGUAAACUUCUUUUAUAUGGGAAUAACAUUUUCCACGUGUGGGAUUUUGUCUGUACCAUAUGAAUAAAGAUCGGCUAACUCCGUGCCAGCAGCCGCGGUAAUACUGAGGAUCCGAGCGUUAUCCGGAUUUAUUGGGUUUAAAGGGAGCGUAGUUGGAUUUUUAAGUCAGUUGUGAAAGUUUGCGGUGCAACCGGAAAAUUGCAGUUGAAACGGGCAGUCUUGAGUACAGUAGAGGUGGGCGGAAUUCGUGGUGUAGCGGUGAAAUGCUUAGAUAUCACGAAGAACUCCGAUUGCGAAGGCAGCUCACUGGACUGCAACUGACACUGAGGCUCGAAAGUGUGGGUAUCAAACAGGAUUAGAUACCCUUGUAGUC
This 460-nucleotide ribosomal RNA is filed under the name uncultured bacterium. Its description in RNAcentral is "partial 16S ribosomal RNA". It matches the Rfam family "Bacterial small subunit ribosomal RNA", at positions 338 to 795 of the family's 1533-position model. The record is from RNAcentral.